RNAcentral lists this long non-coding RNA (1095 nucleotides) under Diabrotica virgifera virgifera (western corn rootworm). RNAcentral's name for it is "uncharacterized LOC126880229". Lineage: Eukaryota; Metazoa; Arthropoda; Insecta; Coleoptera; Chrysomelidae. The record is from RNAcentral.
UAAAAUACAGGAAUCCAAAAUAAUAUAAACAUUUAGACCUUAAUAAUUAGUACAAUUUAUGAAUUAACAUAAUAUGUAAUCAGUUGUUUGUUGUUUGUUUAUUUUAUUAUUUGUCUGUCAUAAUAAAUAUAAUGUCAGAUCAAUCAAAUACACUGCUCAACAUGAUCAAAUCUUACUAAGAGUCGUAUCAGUUUUUUUAGGAACCGGCUGUACAUUGAAACAAGAAUCUACAGGUCGAGCAAGUCUCGUAAAUUUCACGAUUGCGAGCCACGCUUCACGCAACCGUGUUUGCGUACUUGUGUUUCGAGUUGCGUGGUCUUGCGGAGUUACAUUUACCAAAUUUAAAUCCGUUCCAACAUGCUGUCAAAAUUAAAUCAAUAUGUCAAUAUGGCUACUGGGUGUAAAAGAUAAAUCUUAUUCUAUCUGUUCUUAAUGAGUUUUAGAUAAUUUUAGUUGUAUUUCUUUGUAAUAUUGUGUUGUACAAAGAUUAAUUUAACAUUUUCUCUGGAAGUAUUAAUUUAGAAAGAUAAUUAUGCUUCAUUGGUGUUGUGUUUUGAAGUGUGAAAUGCAAAGUAAUUGUGAUAAAGUUCACUUUUAAACUGAACUAAAUAAGGUAUCUGAGAGACAACAAUGGUUAAAUGCAAUACAAUGUACAGGUUUUACUAGCGAAAUGAAAAUUUUCCUGUCCUGUCUGCUGUAAUCAUUUUAUAUCUGGAAAACCAGCCGACUUAAUCGAUAAUAACAAUCUCCAGAUUGGGUUCCUUCAAUAAAUAUGGGCUAUAAACACAAUGAAAUAAGUUCCCCAAAAUCUAAAAUGAAGUGGUAUCAAAGGAGAAUUAAAGGAAAAAAUAUUCAUAUUGAAAUUAUUUAUAAGGCACUGGACUGUCUUAAAUUCUACAAUAAUACUAGAAUCAGCUGAGAGAAGUGGUCUACAAAAAACCAGGAAGGAAACGGAAUAUGUGGCUACGAAAGGCAAAAGAAAGGUUUACAAAGCAAAUGUGACACAUUUUUUUGAAAUAUUUAGGAAUAUCAGUAAAUUGCAUUAAAAAAAUGUAUGAAAAGAUUUUGUUCAAUAAAAAUGUUUAUAUUUAUAAA